This is a non-coding RNA of Macaca mulatta (Rhesus monkey), 581 nucleotides long. Lineage: Eukaryota; Metazoa; Chordata; Mammalia; Primates; Cercopithecidae. The record is from RefSeq and is a predicted model, not a curated record.
UCUGGCUUUGGCCACCUUUCAAAACCACAAGUACAUCCAAGGGCAGCCAAGACAACAACAAAGCCAAGAGAUAACAGUCACCAAAAGAGAAGACCAACUCCCCCUUCCAGGCCUGCCUUCUGCCUGGCUCUCGGCAGGCAAGGCUCCAUUCUCCCCAAAGUAGGUGUCCAAGGCGCUGAAUACAAGCAGGGUACUGAUCCCUGUGCAAGAAGAUAGCUCAGAGGAUGCCCACAGCUGGUGCCAACAUUCUUGGGAGGCUAUGGAACACACUGUCUGGGGAAGGCCCUAUAAUACUUUCUGGGUUCUAAUCCUAGCUCAGUGAUCCAUUAAGGUGCUGCAGUCCAGCCACAGGCCAUUCCGGUUCCUUCUGGGGUUUUGAAACAUGCCAAACGUGCUCUCACCUCCAGUUCUCUGCAUUUGACUUCCCUAUGCCUGCAACAGCCUGGAAGGCCCAUGGUUGCUUUCCCUCAUUAUGCAAAUCUGAGCUUAAAUAUCAUCUCAGAAACCUGUUUAUCCUACCAAAAACGUACCACCUCCAAUAAAUCUCCAGCGUAUCACUCCAUUUCCUCUACAGCAUUUGG